GUCGCUGAAACAACAGUGACCCGGUUUGGCGACCGGAAUUUGUCAAAGGCGGACAACCGCCUGAGCGCGGUUUUUUU
Non-coding RNA from Burkholderia vietnamiensis G4, 77 nucleotides. The record is from Rfam. NCBI's taxonomy places the organism in Bacteria, Pseudomonadati, Pseudomonadota, Betaproteobacteria, Burkholderiales, Burkholderiaceae.